GCAAGAACAGCUGCUGUCUGCACUCUGGGACAUGUGGCCUCCUGUUCCCUUUAUGAAACGCUCUACCAGCAGUUUGUAAAAAAACCUACCCCAUGUCUGCCUGGAACUCUUCUGCUCUGGCUUCAGCGCAUUCUGUCCAUGUGUCCCUUCUAAGCUGAGGGUCCAAUUUCUACAUCUUGCAGCUUGACUUAUUUAUUAAGCUCAAAAAUAUAAUGGCUGGUUCAUAAGUCACAGGGAAGCCCUCAUGUCCCCCAGCAUCACCAAGCUCAGGUCUUCCCCCUACCCUGGAAACACUUCUUCCACAUCAGCUAAGCCCCAUCACCUGGAUCUGUGAGAAGGCAGACCCAUGAGGCCCAAUGGCUGCCAUGUAUCAAGGACCCAAUCCUCUGAUUGAUCAAAGAACAAUGAGAAGAGCUCAAAAAGGAACCCUAAGAGUCUGCCAGUCCAUACAUUCCCUUCCAGCAUGUGGGCAAACAGGCACUC
This 483-nucleotide long non-coding RNA is filed under the name Marmota monax (woodchuck). The record is from RNAcentral. Lineage: Eukaryota; Metazoa; Chordata; Mammalia; Rodentia; Sciuridae.